This 841-nucleotide long non-coding RNA is filed under the name Anser brachyrhynchus (Pink-footed goose). Its description in RNAcentral is "lncRNA (ENSABRG00000006306.1)". The record is from RNAcentral. Lineage: Eukaryota; Metazoa; Chordata; Aves; Anseriformes; Anatidae.
UUUCAAUCCUGCUGCCUGGACCUGAUAAUCAUAUUUAAGAGGUGGUGUUAUGUUCCCAUCCUUCACCUCUUUAUUGAUAUAACAUGGAGGAAGAGGAAAAACAGCUGUUUUCUGAGGGAGUUUUGGCAUAUUCUCACUGUGUGCAAACUGAGAUAUUCAAAAUCAAGGCAAUGGUGCAUUAACUUGGGCAUGAAUUACUGUCACCCAAAUACAUAAGACAAAAUACAGACUGGCCAGGAUGCUGCUGUGGGCCUUAUGACUGCUCCCUCAUUACUGUAUGCUGUACAGAGUAUCCUGUCUUGGGCGAAGUUACAAUCUGAAAGCAACGCUACAUUAAGCAAGUGGUGAGCAAGCAUGAUUACAAGUGCAACUGCGAGUCACUUACCAUUAAUUCCUGUGGGUGUACGUACAGAUGGAGAUAGAGACCCACCUCCCUUGGGAAACACCAGCUUCAAUCUGUUCUUCUUGUGACACAAGCCGUGAAUGCCAUGGAGAGAUAAAUUCAACUACAUUCUUUCCUGUAAUGGGAAUGGUAUUUCACUAUGCUGUUACCUCCUCCCAUGUAGCCUCACAUGUGCUCAGAAAUGCAACAGAUUCUACAGCAGUUUUAAGAUUUGUCUUCUGAAAAUGUCAUUUUGAAGCUGUGAAAUCAGCCGUGCUCAAAAUGAAAAGCACGCUCAAUGGUAUGGAAAGAGAUGGAAGCUAGAAUUUCUUCUUUAUGCCAUUUCUUCUGACCCCAGAAAAUGCUGACCUCCUGCAUCUGUCCAUUUUGACUGACAAAUAAGUGGUCAGUUUGGAUAAAAACCAAAGAUCAGAACUAAUAAAUGUGUUGGCAGGAACA